This 3266-nucleotide long non-coding RNA is filed under the name Phoenix dactylifera (date palm). Its description in RNAcentral is "long non-coding RNA (PDAC_LNC002963)". The record is from RNAcentral. Lineage: Eukaryota; Viridiplantae; Streptophyta; Magnoliopsida; Arecales; Arecaceae.
UUAAAACCAAGGAAUUGUAAUAAAUGACACAUAUAUGGAUCUUCUUUUUGGUUGCUUAUUUUCGUUUUUAUUCUCCUAUUUUGCCUAUCAUAUCUUUUCCUUCCCUUUUUUCAUCUUUAAUCUUUAUUAAACUGGAUUGUGAAUAAGUAAUCAGUUUGGGAUAAUACCAAUAUGAAUUGAUUAAUCCACUCCAAUCAACCUAAGUAAUUUCAGAGUUGCAGUAUUUGUUUCUCUUUUGGUGAGCAUUUUAUAGGCAUAGUCAUAAGUUUGUUACUUGGGAAUCAUUCAUCUAGAAGGGAAAAUUUGGUAUGUAGCUUGUGUUGCAUUAGAAAUAGUAUGGGUCAGUGAUCAAGGCUGACCUGCUUCAGAACUGACUUUGGGCUUUAAGUAUGUAUGAAAGAGAUUGUAAGAUAACUUGUUUACACCCGCAGUCUACCUGACUGCUUACUGGCGGGGAAAUCGACUUACAAUCUUUUCACAUAACAUGCAGUGAAUUUUUGGGAUAAAUACAGAUGCAAAUGGCUAUUGGUUUAUUGGCUCUUUGCUUUGCUCAAUGUUCAGUCUUUAUUCCAUUGCAUUUAACAAAUCUUGCAGCAUUUGUGAUUACUCUGUGUACCUCCUUUGUUUCUUUUUAUGGCUUAUAUGCAGUUUAAUGGGUACACUAUCUUUCUAUGCAUAUGUCACUUGGUCUUCUGAGUUCUAACUAUACUGUACUUCUUUUUCUUUGAACACUUUUUUAUGGCAUGUUGGCAGCAAAGUUUGAAAGUUUGGUUUCAAUUUCUGCAGUUUUAAUUGGGAUUUGGGCAAUUUCAGCCAAAAAUGAUUUAAAAAAGUAGAAAAAUUGAGGAAAGUAAAAAAUCUAGUAAAAAUGUUUUGCUCUGACAUCAUUAUAAAAUAUGUUUAUUGUUCGGAGUGUUUAAGUAUAUCAUUUCGAUGGUUUCUUGUUGGAAUGCAUGUAUGGGAUGCGUAAUGUUUAAAAAAUAGUAGUUUAAUUGUGGAAUUGAUAAUCAUUUUUUUAUAUAUUAGAGUGUUAUGUGACUUAUGUCAAUGAUUGUAAAUGACAGUUUGACAUGUAUUAAUUUUUGUGACCACUAAGUUUAAUCUCUAGGAUAGCCAAACCUAUAUUAAAAGUUGGCUUCUCUAAUUUUCUUAGCAACCUAGUUUUCCAAUGCUUUCAAAUGUUCAUCAAAUUUGCAAAGUUUGAUUUUUUUUUCGGUGGGAAAAUGCUUUUGGAAUAGAAAACAAAAUGCUAUCAUAAUUGCCUAUAUAUAAAAUAUAUUUGGCCUUUGGGCAACUUUGGGCCGAACCUACAAAACUGACUCUAGUUUCGAAUCAUUUUUGGAUGAAAGUGAAAACUUAUGGUUUUGAUUAUAGAGAUNNNNNNNNNNNNNNNNNNNNNNNNNNNNNNNNNNNNNNNNNNNNNNNNNNNNNNNNNNNNNNNNNNNNNNNNNNNNNNNGGACACUUGGUGACAUGGUGAAGUACUCCAAACAAUACUCUGAUAUGUGAAAAGCAUGUAAGAUGGAAGAUUUGUUAAUAGUUAUAUCAUGCAAGGUUCGCCGUGCCGGUACAAGCUUGUACCAGUCGGUUGGCGGCAUGAUUCGGUAUGCCCCUGUGCUGUUCCGUGCUGGGUCUGUACCGACACAACAGAGAGGGUGAGGGAGAACAGGAGAGAGGAAAAGAGAGAGAGAGGAGGAGGAAGGGAGAGGGGGAGGGAGGGCCGUUGGAGGCUUUCGGAGGGUGCUGGAGGGGCACAGAGGGCCGGAGAAGGGGCUCCGCCCUUCGGACCCCUGCCCCUGCGGUGCCCUUUGGAGGCCAAUGGCGGCAUUCCCUCCCUCUCCCUCUCCCUUCCUCCCCCCAUCUCUUUCUUUUUCUCUUUUUUCUUCUCCCUCUCCUCCCACUUGCCGGUUUACCGUUUUGAAUGCCAGAACUGUCCCAGAUGGUUCGGGACGGUUCUGCAUUUCUUGAUAUCAUAUAUAGUUGCUUUUAUUCCUCUUUGAUCUCUAUUGGUACAAAUGGCUCUUCUCAACAAUAAUCAUCAAAUUUUAUUGCUUUUGCCAAUCUUGAAAUUUUCUUUCCAUAAUCUUUUCCCUGUGGUUAUUGACUGUUGCUAAUUAUUUUAUAGAGAACCUUUAUUGGUUCUUGGCCACAUAUUUAUGCCCCUGGAAUCUUGCCUUUGCUUUUGAUCAUGUCUAGAUAUCUUUAGUUUGGUUUGUCUACCUUGUGGUGUAUGAAGUCAUUCUAACUCCUGAUUCAUGUGCAUCCAAUUAUAUAACAUAUGAUGCAUUUGAUUGGACUCUCCAUUUGUCAAUUUCUUACAUGCCACUCCAACAUUAUUGGUUGAUUUUUUGUUUCCUCUUAUUUUUCAUGUUUACAAGCUAUCAAUGAAUUUUGAGCUAGCUUAUAGGUCAUCCUUGCAUAGUGUUACUUGAUUCUUGUUCUUGUUCCGUGCAUUAUCAUUCUUCAUGGAGGUAAUUGGGGCUAACCGUUGGCUUUGUGGUCUUUUCUAGAUGGGUAAUUUCCACCUAUCACCUAAUGUUUCCUUUGUGGAAGUCACCUCUUCACUAUCUUCUUCCUUUCUGAGUAAAAGAGNNNNNNNNNNNNNNNNNNNNNNNNNNNNNNNNNNNNNNNNNNNNNNNNNNNNNNNNNNNNNNNNNNNNNNNNNNNNNNAUGUAGCUUGUGUUGCAUUAGAAAUAGUAUGGGUCAGUGAUCAAGGCUGACCUGCUUCAGAACUGACUUUGGGCUUUAAGUAUGUAUGAAAGAGAUUGUAAGAUAACUUGUUUACACCCGCAGUCUACCUGACUGCUUACUGGCGGGGAAAUCGACUUACAAUCUUUUCACAUAACAUGCAGUGAAUUUUUGGGAUAAAUACAGAUGCAAAUGGCUAUUGGUUUAUUGGCUCUUUGCUUUGCUCAAUGUUCAGUCUUUAUUCCAUUGCAUUUAACAAAUCUUGCAGCAUUUGUGAUUACUCUGUGUACCUCCUUUGUUUCUUUUUAUGGCUUAUAUGCAGUUUAAUGGGUACACUAUCUUUCUAUGCAUAUGUCACUUGGUCUUCUGAGUUCUAACUAUACUGUACUUCUUUUUCUUUGAACACUUUUUUAUGGCAUGUUGGCAGCAAAGUUUGAAAGUUUGGUUUCAAUUUCUGCAGUUUUAAUUGGGAUUUGGGCAAUUUCAGCCAAAAAUGAUUUAAAAAAGUAGAAAAAUUGAGGAAAGUAAAAAAUCUAGUAAAAAUGUUUUGCUCUGACAUCAUUAUAAAAUAUGUUUAUUG